GCUGGGCGCGGUGGCCCACGCCUGUAGUCCCAGUGGCUCAGGAGGCUGAGACAGGAGGAUCGAGUUCAAAGCCAGCCUCAGCAAUGGCAAGGUGCUAAGCAACUCAGUGAGACCCUGUCUCUA
Molecule: small RNA, 123 nt
Filed under: Marmota monax (woodchuck)
Lineage: Eukaryota; Metazoa; Chordata; Mammalia; Rodentia; Sciuridae
Source: RNAcentral